Molecule: long non-coding RNA, 8390 nt
Filed under: Setaria viridis
Lineage: Eukaryota; Viridiplantae; Streptophyta; Magnoliopsida; Poales; Poaceae
Description: long non-coding RNA (SVIR_LNC010550)
Source: RNAcentral
UUAGGAACUUGUUACUCAACUACAAUUAUUAUUAUAAUGGUGUUUUCGAAAAAUAAAUGUGUGUGUGUGUCCAAGCAAAAGAAAUGGCUUUUGGGUUCGGGGGAAAAAGAGUGUGUAGACGGGAUGGAUGGGUGUUCCUUGUGUGGGAUGCCCCGUUGUUGUGCUCGUACCUUGGUGGUUGAGCAAUGUCGGGAGAUAUCCAUCCGGUCGUAAUUAAGGACCGAGUUGAUGUGUCAUCUUGCCUAAUUCCACUAUCGUGCAACCACUCGACCGUUGUAUGGGCAACGGCUUGGCAUAAAUCCCACUAGCUGGAUGGUUAGUCCUCAGGAGUGCUGGUGAGCAACGGGAACCCACGGAAAAGGAUUAAGAUCUUGGUGACUUGAGUCCCGGUUACGGUCUCCUGAAUGAGCCGUGGACCCCUUGGGUGUUUCCGCGAGAACUAGCCAGUCUUAGCUAAGGUGGGUAAUGGCUUUGUUAGGAUCCGUACCGUCACUACGGUGAUCGUGCUACGGUACCCUACUUGUGGGAAAAGUGUACACCCUCUGCAGAGUUAAAACCUAUCCGGGUAGCCGUGUCCACGGUAUUGGACGAAUUACGGCUUGGUCACAUAACUAGUGUUUGGGCAAGGAUGUCAUGAGUGUGUGUGUGUGUGUGUGUGUGUGUGGAAUUUCAGAAGAGUCCGGCAGUUGUGCCGUGCGCUAUGACGGACGGGGAGUCCGAUGGCGAUAAAAGCUUGGAUCCUUUGUGUAGGAUCAACCCCACUCAGUAUUUCGGGUAUUAAAGGAAACUUUACAAAAACCCUUUUGAAAACAAUCCCCCUGCAUGUGUUAAAAAUUAGCUUUCCCGCAAAAUAAACCCUAGCCUACCCUUGUUAUACUUGUGCAUAAACUUGCUUGUAUCCCCUCCGUGGAUGGGGUUGGACUUGUUGAGUACGUUAGUACUCACCCUUGCUUCAUUACUACAGAGGAAGACCCUGAGUUCGUCGCAGAAGACCUCGAGUAGAGGUUGUGUCCGCACCCGACGCUGCCUGUGGAGUUACCCUGCCCAAGAUGCUGCUGCUGCCGUGUAGUCCCGAGUGCUGUCUUUUGGCAGUCGCUUGGUUAGCCGCCGUUAUUUAUUUACUGUUUAUCGCUGCGUGGCUUUCACGCCCACUCCCUCGGGAGUUGUACGGUAACUGAAUUAUCUGUCGAAUAAAUGUGUUAUCAGCCUCCUGGGACUGAUAUUUGUAUCACAUUUAGUCUCUACUUACAUGGGGACGCUUCAGGUGGUAUCAGAGCCGUCGUUGGCUGUAGGACGCAACCUUAGGACCGGAUUAGCCCGUUUUGACCAAAACAAAAGAAUUACAAAAUUUCUCCCCACCUUUGCUCUAUUGUAAAACUAAUUUGUGCCCCGAAUCUUUUCCAGAUGGCCGAGGAAGGAUGGGUCAACAGCCACUGCCUGGAGGAGCCUGGUUUUCCCAGAUUGUUGUUCGCCUGCAUGGACCGCCUUGGAAUUUAUGAGCGUCCGGAGUACACCAGCAGGGAGUACGAGGACCGCGGGACCCCUCGGUGUGAGAUGAUUAUCUACAUCGGGCGGAGUAGCCGCUAUCCGGACAUCCAGCCUUGGAAUGUGACUGCCACCGGCUUCCGGCACAAGGAUACCUAUCAAGUGGCAGCCCGGAAGGCCCUCUGUUUCCUGUGCCAGAUCUAUGAGAGGCACAUCGGCCGCACUCCGAUGAGGUUCUACCCGCCUGUCAAGAAAAACCGCCCGGUUUGGCUGGCCCGGGUACGGACCUUGGAAGGACGUGGACAGCGCGAGGAUGACCCCACUGUGCUGCACAUGGCUGCCUACCUUCUCACCUUGGAUGAGCUCUACGACGAGCAGGCUGCUAAGUUGAAGCAGCAGACCCGUAGGGCUGAGGACGCAGAAGUUAUGGCGAGGAGGCUCCAGGUGAAGUUAGCCGCCGCCGAAGCCCGAGCCGCGGCCGCCCAAAGCAAUGAGGCCAUUGCCAUUGAGGCUCUCAAGGAGGCUGAGGAUCGGCACUCCAAGGAACUGAAGGAUGCCCACCUCACCAUUCGUGCCAGAAGGAGGAUGGUGGCCAUCGAGGACGACGAGGCCCCGAUCCUUGAAGGAAUUCCCAUUGCCCCAGGGCCCAGUAAGCGGAAAAGCACGGAUGCCACCCCGGCACCACCACCUUCAGAAAGGGACUCCGAGGUAUCGGAUGGAGUGGUUCCCGAGACCCCUCCCACGGGCGGGACUCUGAAGGAUGAGGUGCUGGCCCUUCUCCUUCCGAUAGAAGAUCACUCAGUCCAGGGAGAAGACUCGCCCCGCAAGUAGUAUGCCCAGCCAGAAUUGCCCAAGGGAUGAAGCCGUCAUGGUCCACAGUUUAGAGUUGUACCCCCUCCCGUUGUGUUGUUGUAUCCGGUCGUGUAGUGCGUGUUUUGGCCUUACCCCAGCAGUGUUGUACCCCCGUGGCAAAAUAAAUAAAAUCGCUUGUGUUUGUUGCUUGUUAGUCUGUGUGUUUGUCGGCAGGAGGUGGAUUCUGUCUCUUCGAAAAUACGAAAUAACCACUUUAAAGAUCACUAAAAUCCAAAUCAUACUCUCAUAAAAGUCUCACUCAAUCUGCAGAUGCCGCCCAAGCGUGCCACCAGGACUUCCCCAAGCCAGGCCCAUGCCACCCCCAGUGCAGAGAGGCAGCCAGAAAGGCAAGAACCGCCUCCGGCAGCACUUCCUGAGGAGCAGGAAGUGAGCCAGCCUGAAGGAAGGGGAGAAAGUCAGGUGGGGGCACAGCAGCCACCACCCCCACCAGUUAUUGAUCUGGUUCAAGUAAUGAACAACCAGACCCUUCUACUGGAAGCACUAGCCAACGCCAUUACUCGCCAGAGGCCCCGCGGGCAGAACAUGAAUGAGAAGUUGACGGACUUCCUCCGGACCAAGCCACCCACUUUUGGCGGGUCUGUCAACCCUCUGGACGCAGAUGAUUGGCUGCGUGUCAUCCAGAGGAAGCUGGAGCCAUUUGGUUGUGAGGGCAGGGACAAAGUUCUCUUGGCUGCCCACCAGCUCACCGGAACUGCCCUAGCCCGGUGGGAGAACUACUGCUCUGCCGCCCAGGAUGCCUCUACUAUCACCUGGGAUGAGUUCGUGACGGAAUUCCGUCGCUACCACAUUCCCGCCGCCACCAUGAAGCGCAAGGCGGAUGAGUUCCGUGAACUCCGCCAGGGCAACCGAUCCGUGGAGGAGUACACUUUCCAGUUCAUGGAGCUGGCCCGUUACGCUCCAGAGGAGGUGGACAAGGACGAGAAGAAGCAGGACAUGUUCAAGAAAGGCUUGAACGCAGAGCUAAGGACCCUGCUCACUCCUCAGACCUACCCCGACUUCAACACCUUGAUGAACAUGGCUAUCUUGACUGAGAGGGCCAAGGCAGAGGAGCGGAGGGACAACAAGCGUCGGUUCCUGGAAAACAAGGCACACCAGCAGGACCGCUUCCAGAAGCCAAGAAGCUUCGGUCAUCCCUUGCCCAGAUCCCAAGCUCCCAUGCAUUAUCGGACCCAGUCCCAAACACCUGGCUCACAUCAGACUGCUGCCCCAUUCCGGAGCCAGAACUCCAUCAAGGCCCCACAGAACAGCGCCAGCCAGGUCACCAGCAAUGGUAGGGCAUGCUUCAACUGCAGAGAGCCAGGGCAUUUCAUCGCCAACUGCCCCUAUGCCAACAAGCCAGCAGCAUCAGCCGUGUCCAACUCAGUAGCUGGGCCCAGGACCGCAUUGUCAGGAGCCAACCGUGUGCCAGUCCACAGCAGUGGCAACCCCAGCAACAACAACAGCCUGCAGAUGAGGCCGCCCCAACAGUCAUUUGGACGAGCCCGCGUCAACCACAUCGGCGCGCAGGAGGCUCGCGAAGCUCAGGGCGUGGUACUCGGUGAGUUCCUAGUCAGCUCAGUCUUGGCAACAGUACUUUUUGAUUCUGGAGCAUCACAUUCCUUCAUAUCCUCAAGUUUUGUGGAAGAACAUCAUAUACCUACAGUACUACUAAAGUUACCCUUAUUAACCCGGACUCCUGGGGCCGACAUUCAGUGUCGACUAGGUUGUUCUCGGGUAAGGAUCAAUUUCAGUGGGGUAGAAUUUCUAGCGGAUCUAGUAGUACUUAAGUCUAAGGGGAUAGACGUGAUCCUUGGAAUGGACUAGUUAAGCCUGCAUGACAGUCAUAUAGGGUGUGCUGAUAAGGUAGUGCACCUGACCAAUCGAGAUGGUGUGCAAGUGACCUGUCACACUAAGGGAAGUGGCCCAAACCCCAUGGUGUUCAGCAUGGAGACCAAGACCAUAGAAGAAGUCCCGGUAGUGAGUGAAUACCCAGACAUCUUUCCUGAGGAACUACCUGGAAUGCCCCCUGACAGGGACAUAGAGUUCGUAAUUAACCUCGUCCCCGGGACCUCCCCUAUAGCCAAGAGACCCUAUAGAAUGGCAGCCCCAGAGUUAGCCGAGCUGAAGAAACAAUUGGGAGAGUUGCAACAGAGUGGUUUUAUCAGGCCCAGCUCAUCCCCGUGGGGAGCCCCCGUGCUUUUUGUCAAGAAGAAAGACGGAAGUAUGAGGAUGUGCGUGGAUUAUCGUGCAUUAAAUGAAGUCACCAUUAAGAACAAGUACCCCCUCCCUAGAAUAGAUGACCUGUUUGACCAAUUAAAGGGAGCCAAGUAUUUCUCCAAGAUAGAUCUGAGAUCGGGGUAUCAUCAGCUCAAGAUCAAGGAGAGCGACAUUCCGAAGACCGCCUUUGUCACCCGCUAUGGUCAAUUUGAGUUUACAGUGAUGUCCUUUGGAUUGACCAAUGCACCUGCUUACUUCAUGAACCUCAUGAACAAGGUGUUUAUGGACGAGUUAGAUAAGUUUGUCGUAGUCUUCAUUGACGACAUACUUAUCUAUUCCAAGAGUGUUCAAGAACAUGAACACCACUUACGGGUGGUCUUGGAAAAACUGAGAGCCCACCGACUCUAUGCUAAAUUUAGCAAGUGCGAAUUUUGGCUUGAGAAAGUGGCAUUCCUUGGUCAUAUCUUGACCGCGGAAGGAGUAGCAGUUGACCUUGAGAAGGUGGAGGCCGUCUCCAACUGGCAGCAGCCCACUAAUGUUAGUGAAAUCAGGAGUUUCCUGGGUUUAGCUGGAUAUUAUCGGAGGUUUAUUGAGGGAUUCUCCAAGAUAGCCCGUCCCAUGACAGAGUUGCUCAGAAAGGACAAGAAAUUCACCUGGACCGAGUCAUGUGAGCGGAGUUUCCAGGAGCUGAAGAAAAGAUUGACAACAGCCCCAGUACUGACCUUGCCAGAUAUCCAGCGAGACUUCAUCAUCUACUGCGAUGCAUCUCGGCAAGGAUUAGGCUGUGUCCUCAUGCAGGAUGGGAAGGUUGUGGCAUAUGCUUCCCGACAACUUAAGCCCCAUGAGCAGAACUACCCAACUCAUGACUUAGAAUUUGCAGCCGUAGUGCAUGCCCUCAAGAUCUGGAGACAUUAUCUGAUUGGGAAUAAGUGUGAAAUCUACACCGACCAUAAAAGCCUAAAGUACAUCUUUACCCAACCCGAUCUGAACUUAAGGCAGAGGAGGUGGCUAGAGCUGGUAAAGGACUACAACCUGGAAAUCCAUUACCACCCCGGCAAGGCUAAUGUUGUAGCUGAUGCCCUAAGCAGAAAGUCCUAUGUACAGCCCGGACCCGAGAAUGCCCGACUACGAGAGGAAAUGGCCCGGUUGAAUGUGCAUAUCAUUCCCCAGAAUACUAGCCGUAGGCUAAGUGUCCAGCCCACAUUGGAGGGUAAAAUCCGAGAAGCCCAGGGUUCAGACCAAGAUCUAGUAAAAAUCCGCAAGCAGACCGGAGAAAAUAAAGCCCCGGAUUUCAGGGUAGAUGACAAGGGAACCUUGUGGUAUAAGAAUAGAAUUUGUGUCCCUAAGGACGGAGAAUUCCGGCAGACCAUCAUGGAUGAAGCCCAUAACUCAGCAUACUCCAUUCACCCCGGGUCCACUAAGAUGUACAUGGACCUAAAACAGAAAUACUGGUGGAACGGGAUGAAGGCAGACAUAGCUCAGUUUGUCGCCCGGUGCGAUACCUGCCAAAGAGUCAAGGCCGAGCACCAGAAGCCAGCCGGCUUGCUACAACCCUUGCCUAUCCCGGUGUGGAAGUGGGAUGAGAUCGGCAUGGAUUUUGUAGUAGGCUUGCCCAGAACCCAGAAGGGAAAUGACCCAUAUGGGUAAUAGUGGACCGACUUACCAAGGUUGCUCACUAUCUGCCCGUACGGACCACUUACGGUGGAGAAAAACUGGCUCGACUCUACGUCGACAACGUAGUGAAGCUGCAUGGUGUGCCCAGCCGAAUCGUCUCGGAUAGAGGAACUCAGUUCACCUCUAGGUUUUGGAGGAGCUUACACAAAGCCAUGGGUACCAAACUGGAUUUUAGUUCAGCUUAUCACCCCCAGACCGAUGGCCAAACCGAACGGGUAAAUCAGAUCAUGGAAGAUAUGUUAAGAGCGUGUGUCCUCACCUAUGGAAAGGAUUGGGAACAAAGUCUACCCUAUGCAGAAUUCUCAUACAACAAUAGUUACCAAGCCAGUCUAGGCAUGUCACCAUUUGAGGCCCUUUAUGGUAGAAAGUGUCGGACCCCUUUGAUGUGGUCAGAAGUCGGAGAACGUUCCCUGGUCGGACCAGCUUUUAUCAAGGAAGCAGAAGACCGUGUAGCAGAGAUCCGAGAGAAGUUAAAGGCUGCACAGUCCAGACAGAAGAGCUACUCCGACAAAAGAAGACGAGAAUUGUGCUUUAAUGAGGGAGAUUUUGUCUACCUCAAGGUAUCCCCGAUUCGGGGUACUCGAAGAUUUCAAGUGCAAGGAAAAUUAGCCCCUCGGUAUAUCGGACCAUACCAGGUGUUAAAGAGAAUUGGAGCCGUAGCAUACCGUAUCCAACUGCCCGAGGAAAUGUCGGAUAUACACCCGGUAUUCCAUGUCUCCCAGCUAAGAAAAUGCUUGAGAGUACCGGAGGAACAAGUGCCGGUGGAAACAAUAGAUUUACAGAAGGACCUUCGGUAUCAAGAAGUACCUGUCAAGAUUUUAGAUACUGUCACCAGAAGGACAAGGAACACAGCAGUUCGGAUCUGCAGAGUACAAUGGAGCAGGCAUGGCGAAGAAGAGGCCACAUGGGAACGCGAGGACGCGUUAAAGAAGGAGUUUCCCCAUCUUUUCAGGACUCAGUCGAAUCUCGAGGACGAGAUUCAAUUUAAGUGGGGUAGGUUUGUAACGUCCGCAGAAAUCACUAACUAAAAUCACCCGUUAAAAACUGUCUUUAAAAUCUUUUUACCGCCGAGCUUCCGGAAAUCGGAAACCUCCCCGGCGAUUUCGCCGUCCCGGUACCCAGGCCGACCCCCACCUAUCUUUUUAUCUGUGCCCGCGAAUCUCGUCGCGUGCCGGCGUCAGGCGCCGUGCGCGUGCCCCGACCGCGUGCCGCAAACGCUGCCGGUCUCUUCCUUUUUCCUUCCCUUUUUUUCCCCUUUUCUUUUCUCCUUUUUCUUUCUCCUUCUUCUUUCUUUCUCCCUUUCUUCUUUCUUCUUCCUUCCUCCUUCUCUCUCUCCUCCCCUUUCUUCCUCCUGGCACCCGGCGCCACCAUCCCCUGGCGCCACACCUCCUGGCCGGCCAACACCAUUUACUCCGGCACCCCCAUCCCCUGGCGCCAUACCGCCACGGUUGAAAAUCGUUUUCUCUUUUAUUUAUUUGUGUGUCUGCUUGUGUGUGCCGUAGAUCGUGGAUUGCCCGAGGAGGAGCCCGAGGAGGAGUUUGAUCGCGAGCCCGAGCCCGAGGACCAGUACCGCGAGCCGGAACUCCCGGAAGGCUUUGAAGGCGGCAAGUCCAAUCUCACCCUUUGAUGCAUACUUAAUACCUAGUUUUUCAAACACAACCUAUUGGCCUGUUUUACAAAAUGCAUAUUAUUUCACCGCAAGACAUGGUUGGAUAGCCACCCCUUGAUUGUUAUGAACAUUCCUUGUUGUCCUAUGUUUAUCUCUGAAUACGACUUGCUCUGUUUAGAUGAUAACCACUGCUAGCACGCUUAGGAACUUGUUACUCAACUACAAUUAUUAUUAUAAUGGUGUUUUCGAAAAAUAAAUGUGUGUGUGUGUCCAAGCAAAAGAAAUGGCUUUUGGGUUCGGGGGAAAAAGAGUGUGUAGACGGGAUGGAUGGGUGUUCCUUGUGUGGGAUGCCCCGUUGUUGUGCUCGUACCUUGGUGGUUGAGCAAUGUCGGGAGAUAUCCAUCCGGUCGUAAUUAAGGACCGAGUUGAUGUGUCAUCUUGCCUAAUUCCACUAUCGUGCAACCACUCGACCGUUGUAUGGGCAACGGCUUGGCAUAAAUCCCACUAGCUGGAUGGUUAGUCCUCAGGAGUGCUGGUGAGCAACGGGAACCCA